Taeniopygia guttata (zebra finch) is the source of this 3628-nucleotide long non-coding RNA. NCBI's taxonomy places the organism in Eukaryota, Metazoa, Chordata, Aves, Passeriformes, Estrildidae. The record is from Ensembl.
ACCAUGAUUGCUAUUUAUUUCAAGUUAUCAGCAAACUCUGAUGUUGUUGCAACCCCAUAGGGAGUUUAGCAAAAACCCCAAACAAAUGUAACCCUCUCCUUCACCCAAAAAAAACACCCCAAAACCAAAAUUCCUGACUGCAAAUAAACAAAAAAUUACCUUGCAUGUGUAGCUUUCAGGACCUUGCAUGCAGGACCCUAAUUAGACUCACAGAGAUUUUAGUCAAAUUAAGGAACUGUAUUUUGUAAGCUUGAUGAAUAUCUCAUUAUAUAUUAUGCCUAUCUCAGACUGUAAUAAUCAUUUCCCCAGCUGCUUUUUGCUUAAGAUGGCAAGUUAGCAGUCUACCUACUUUUCCCCCUAGCUCCCAGAAGUCUUAACAAUGUGUAAAUUCAAUGUGGGCCAUAUGCAGUUUAUUUAACCUCUCCAGGUGCUCUGGGAAAGGACUUUUAGCCUGUUACUGAUCUAAUUUGAUCUUCUGUCUUCACCUUUUCCUUAAAACCACAGCAAAACUAAUAACUCGGCCUCAAAGCAAGUCUUCAAAGCAGCUUGUCAAUUUUCCUUAAAGAAAAACUGAAGGAUCAACCACCUUUUUUUUUUUUUUUUUCCUUUUUGUAUACACAACCUGAAAUGGGGAUCUAAAAAGAGCGUGGUAUUAAAUUUCUAUUUCAUGCUUAAAGUACAUGCAGUAUGUUUUAUGGUAAUGAAUGCACAAUCAGAGAUUAGGAGUACAUCAACUGAGGAGUUGAACACAGCUCCCAUGAGGACAGGAGGAAAAAAAGAAUAAUCAACCUAUGAAUACAGCCUUUAUUACAAUACUUCAGGUCUAGAACAUCUUAUUUAUGACUUGAGUGGAAAGAUUUAUGUACUAUUAAUUCCAGAUUUCAUUAGACUUAUGUACAGUUAUGAUAAGGAUGUGUACAUCUCUGGAAGCUUGUCAAAAUAUCUAUGAAAAUUCUGCAUGGUGAAUUCCCCUGGUCACAGACCACAUGUCUUACAUGAUGGUUUCUCAGGCAGACCAUGUUCUUCUCCUAGUCUGUUCUUACAAAGCAAACUCAGCACGUAGAGCUGUUUUUGUGCUCUGUCUGUAUAAACCCCAGCACAGUGGGAUUCUUCUACACUGGGAUUUUAGAGUGUUAGGACAAUGCAGAUAAUAAAAAUCAAAACAAUUACAGUAUGAAACAACACAUGAAACCAAAUUCAGCACUGUACAACAACAGCUUGCAAGAAACCUGAUCCAACUCAAAUCUGCCCUUUGCUCUAUAACUUCCCCUGUGAAGUCUUGAAAAUGCAUUAUUUUGGAGAUGGGACUGUGUCAAAAAACUCAACUUUAAAAAAAAAAAGUCUUCAUUGUGUAGGGUGGUUUCUUUACACGGGAAUACAGAAAAUUCCAUUAUCUACCUUCAGGGUUCGGCUUUGGGGCCAAGAACUCUUGGCCCUCAACAUACCGUGUGAAGUCCUCAGACAGGUCAAGUAUUUCUGAGGCAAAUACCAGCAAACUCCUGUUGUCCCACGCCUUGGAGCUCCCUGUGGGUCUGAGGCUGUGUCUGUGGGAUCUGCUCUCCAGAUCAGCCCAUUUUCACGGGGGGUUUCCCCAAGGUGGGCAGCGAUGCCAUGCAGUGAAUCCCCUGUGAGCACACAGAACCUGCCUGGAGGAGGGAGGGAGGCACUGCAGGUGCCCUGGUACCUCCAGAGAUGAGGGGGCUUUGCUGCAGCUUGGCUCAGCCCAGAGGAGGGAGCAGAGCCUACAGGAGGAUGGAUUGUGGAGGAGUCAGCUUGCUUCUGGAUUUACUGGAAGUUAGUUAAGUAACCAUAUACAGAGGAUGUAACUAGUAAUCAGGUCAUGAAUCUCUGCUUACAGAUAUUCUUGUAAGAAGCCAAGCACAUUUGGCAAGCCUGGCAUUGUCUCAUAUUAUUAGCUGGCAAAUAGUGCACAAAGUCUUUCAGUCCAGCAAGAGCAACAGCAAAGAAGAGAUUGCAAUUGACAGGAAGACAAUAAAAACAUCUCUGAGCACGGAACAAAGAAGGGACUUGGAACAACAGGAGCACUAAAUUCCAAGACUUCUAUAAGCAUGGAAAGAAGUAUUCAGUCCAUGACCAAGUAGAUCAUGGGUAUUCAAAAUACGAAAAUUAAGGAAAUAAUUUAAAAGCGAAUACUUUGAUGUCCUACUAACUUGAAAUAGAAAAAACAAAAUAAUAAGAUCCAAUUACCUAAAAUAUUUGGUAAAUAGACAAAAAAUACCUUUGAUAAAUGACUGAAAAUGGAGAAUAACAUGUCAGCUCCUGGAAUAAGCAAAGGGAAUAAAUUCUUGCUUAAAAUGUAUUGCUCAGAGGCUUGGCAUCCAUGUCUACAUAUAGAGAUCAGAAAGAUUCAUUAAACACAGGAAAGAUCAUUCAUGGAUGAAUAAUUUAGGCGAUCCCAACAUAAAGGACUGACCGCCGAGAGAAACAGCCCAAACUCAACAAGUGUUUCUGAACAGAAAGCACUGAGUUGCUGAAAAUAUACAUAUACUAGAUGAACUGAGAGUGAAGAGCAAGUAUACCAGAGGCUGGAGCACAAGGAAUCCAGGUGAGACAGGCAUAAACUUGUCAAAUGCAUAGGCAACAUGAUGUCAAAAUUAAAAUGAAAAAUAAGAAUGGAGCACACCUCUGUGCACCCCAAAGUACUCCUAAAAAAACCCAAAUAAAAUAAAAAAUGCCUUUAGCCUGUCACUGUAACCACAGAAAGUACAGAAAAGCCACCUCAGGACACCAGGGUAGGCAGGCAGUCCACUGCAGCAGAGAGGGCAAGGACUGGGGGCUCCUUUAGGAGAGUUCACCUCAGUCUGGCCCUCAAAAUUACCCAGAAUAACCCUAAAUGUGGGAGUCACUGGCAGAGCAGAGGUAGAUACAAGGAUAGGGCUGGAGGAAAGCUUAAGAGAGAGAUCAUGCAGAAACCAGAGCAGGGUCUUGGCUGCCAGCAGCAGCCAGCCCUGCGAGAAGCCAUGACUUCCCAUCCCCAGACAGGCUGCAAGGGAACCCCCCCAGUUUUCAAACUUGAAGGCAGAAGGCCACAGGAUAUGUCCCAGGGGGCAUCAAGGAAAAGCCUUGGAUUUACACACAGAGCAUGGACUACCAUCAUUUUGGACAGGUUUAUUUACAUCAGGUAUCAACCAAAAAACAGGCAGUGAAGUUUUACAAGCACUCUUACCCUGCACAGAAUGAAAGAGGGAUAUUGGCAGUAGCCAGGCUUUGAGCAGCCAGCACAAUCCCAUUACUUUUCCUCUCCUGAGGAGUGAUUUUCUUUAUCUGUAUCUGUGACCUGGAUCUUGCUAUUACAACAAUCCUGCUGAAGUUUGCUUUAUUGUGAUGGAAAAGUCAGCAGCAGACCCAUAUCCCCUCAAGGGACACCCUGGUACCAGUCACUCAACCCAUGGUUGUGUUAUAAAACAGCAACCUUCUGCUUUGCUAAUGUGCAGACAUAUGAGCUGUAAGCAAUUUGUAUAAAGUAUUUUAAGAUACCAAGAAAAGAGCAAAACAGCAAAGAUGAGAAACAAUAGCAUACUGUUAAUUUUUGGGUCAUUUAACACAACUCCCGGUAAUUUUCUUAUCUCUGUGCAUCAAGUUUAAAACUGGAAAAAAAAAAAAAAAA